GGCCAUACUUUCAGUGGGGUCUG
RNAcentral lists this non-coding RNA (23 nucleotides) under Arabidopsis thaliana (thale cress). The record is from RNAcentral. Lineage: Eukaryota; Viridiplantae; Streptophyta; Magnoliopsida; Brassicales; Brassicaceae.